CUCGGUAUCCAGAGCAUAGGAACUUUCACUUCCAGUUCGUGAAUGAACAGUACUUGGAUUCUCUAGACGUCCCCGGUCUCUGCAAGUGUUAAUGGAACAAAUGGUGCCACUAAUGAAGCAAGAUUCAAGCGCUCCAUCAUCAAGUUUCAGCACAAGGAAGGUGAAAUAGAGAACAUGAAGGCAUCCUCCUCUGUGUCCACAGACACUGUUUCAGGUCACUCAAGAGCCACUGAGUCACACCAAAAAAGACAAGAACAAAAUAAAACAACAAAAACCGCCUAAUACAUAAAUAGUUGAAAAUUAUUGACUUUGGAAAGUGGGAAAUAAGCACUACAUAUUCACCAUUAACAUUUGUAAGUGUGGCUGCAUGCGCACAUUGAUACACACCACAGACACUGGCUCUUUGUCCUUCACUUACUUU
Molecule: long non-coding RNA, 421 nt
Organism: Peromyscus californicus insignis
Lineage: Eukaryota; Metazoa; Chordata; Mammalia; Rodentia; Cricetidae
Exons: 4
Source: RefSeq, a predicted model, not a curated record